GCUCUAUUAUUGCCAUCUCUACCGUCUGCCCUCAGCCCCUCUGCCCUCUGCCCACGCCGCCGCACCUCCGAGGCAUCUGUGCACGUCGACAUGCCUUGCCCUCCGCCGCGCCUUGCUCAUCGCCAGUAAACCACGCCUCCGCCCUCCUCCAUCUGCUCACGGCGUCGUCUGCCCUCCGCCCUCUGACCACGCCGCCAUGCCACUGCCGUCCGCCCUCUGCCCCACGUCGCUUGGCUCUGUCCUUUGCCGCACCUCCGCCACCGUGCCUCCACCGUCUGUCCACAUUGUCGCUCCUCCACGCUGUGCCCUCCGCCGCACUCUGUCCUCCGCUGGCUCUCUGCACAUUGCAUAUGCUACUAAUUAACCUACUACCAAUAACACUCG
RNAcentral lists this unclassified non-coding RNA (384 nucleotides) under Zea mays. RNAcentral's name for it is "misc RNA Zm00001eb017370". Lineage: Eukaryota; Viridiplantae; Streptophyta; Magnoliopsida; Poales; Poaceae. The record is from RNAcentral.